This 463-nucleotide ribosomal RNA is filed under the name uncultured Klebsiella sp. RNAcentral describes it as "bacterial SSU rRNA". It matches the Rfam family "Bacterial small subunit ribosomal RNA", at positions 338 to 795 of the family's 1533-position model. Lineage: Bacteria; Pseudomonadati; Pseudomonadota; Gammaproteobacteria; Enterobacterales; Enterobacteriaceae. The record is from RNAcentral.
CCUACGGGUCUGCAGUGGGGAAUAUUGCGCAAUGGGCGCAAGCCUGAUGCAGCCAUGCCGCGUGUGUGAAGAAGGCCUUCGGGUUGUAAAGCACUUUCAGCGGGGAGGAAGGCGGUGAGGUUAAUAACCUCAUCGAUUGACGUUACCCGCAGAAGAAGCACCGGCUAACUCCGUGCCAGCAGCCGCGGUAAUACGGAGGGUGCAAGCGUUAAUCGGAAUUACUGGGCGUAAAGCGCACGCAGGCGGUCUGUCAAGUCGGAUGUGAAAUCCCCGGGCUCAACCUGGGAACUGCAUUCGAAACUGGCAGGCUAGAGUCUUGUAGAGGGGGGUAGAAUUCCAGGUGUAGCGGUGAAAUGCGUAGAGAUCUGGAGGAAUACCGGUGGCGAAGGCGGCCCCCUGGACAAAGACUGACGCUCAGGUGCGAAAGCGUGGGGAGCAAACAGGAUUAGAUACCCUAGUAGUC